Molecule: long non-coding RNA, 594 nt
Organism: Juglans microcarpa x Juglans regia
Lineage: Eukaryota; Viridiplantae; Streptophyta; Magnoliopsida; Fagales; Juglandaceae
Exons: 2
Source: RefSeq, a predicted model, not a curated record
CCUUAGAGCUACCCAAGAUUGGGAAAUUGACACAUUUAUAGAUUUCUUCAAUCUCAUACACAAUUGUAGAGUGUUUGGAGGAGCGGAUAAGAUGAUAUGGUCACCAUCCAAUUAGGGGAAAUUUACUGUACAGCUGUACUAUAAGUCUCUUAUGACACACUCUACAAGAAGCUUUCCAUGAAAGAACAUAUGGCAGACUAAGGACCCCCUAAAAGUUCCUUUUUUUUUUUUUUUUUUUUUUUGUGUGGACAGCUUCGUUAGGGAAGAUUCUUACCUUAGAUAAUCUAAGGAAAUGCCGCUUUAUUGUGUUGGAUUGGUGUUACAUGUGUAAGAAAAGUGGCGAGUCUGUGGAUCACCUAUUAUUGUAUUGUGACGGAGCCAUGAGUUUAUGGAAUGAUAUCUUUGCAAGGGUGGGGCUCAUUUGGGUAAUGCCAAGAAGGGUUGACUUUUUGGCCAGUUGGCAAGGCAUCCGAGGUAAUUCUCAAAUUGCAGCUAUGUGGAAGAUGAUACCAACCUACCUAUGGUGGUGCAUAUGGAUGGAGAGGAACAGUCGGAGCUUUGAGGAUCGUGAACGGACAAUGGAUGAGCUUAAAA